This 407-nucleotide ribosomal RNA is filed under the name Verrucomicrobiota bacterium. RNAcentral's name for it is "Verrucomicrobia bacterium partial 16S ribosomal RNA". It matches the Rfam family "Bacterial small subunit ribosomal RNA", at positions 355 to 776 of the family's 1533-position model. The record is from RNAcentral. Lineage: Bacteria; Pseudomonadati; Verrucomicrobiota.
UGGGGAAUAUUGGGCAAUGGGCGAAAGCCUGACCCAGCAACGCCGCGUGAAGUAUGAAGGCCUUCGGGUUGUAAACUUCUUUGAUCAGGGAAGAAACAAAUAACGGUACCUGAAAAACAAGCCACGGCUAACUACGUGCCAGCAGCCGCGGUAAUACGUAGGUGGCGAGCGUUAUCCGGAUUUACUGGGUGUAAAGGGCGUGCAGGCGGGCUGAUAAGUCAGAUGUGAAAUCCCCGAGCUUAACUCGGGAACUGCAUCUGAUACUGUUGGUCUUGAGUGCUGGAGAGGAUAGUGGAAUUCCUAGUGUAGCGGUAAAAUGCGCAGAUAUUAGGAGGAACACCAGUGGCGAAGGCGGCUAUCUGGACAGUAACUGACGCUGAGGCGCGAAAGCGUGGGUAGCAAACAGG